This 624-nucleotide ribosomal RNA is filed under the name Triticum aestivum (bread wheat). RNAcentral describes it as "partial small subunit ribosomal RNA". Lineage: Eukaryota; Viridiplantae; Streptophyta; Magnoliopsida; Poales; Poaceae. The record is from RNAcentral.
AUGACAACGUCCGUCGACAUCGGUACCCACAGCGCCACAGGAACGACCCCGACGCCGACAGGACCCAAAGCUGUAACCACUGUGCCGGACAGGCCAGCCGUGGCGACGAACCGCUCAUCGUUCAGGAACCGCAUGGACGAGGACGAGGACGACCUAUAUGCAAUGUCGUCGAGCGACUCCUCGUCAGAGGAGGACGACGACGACGCCCACUGGGACCCAUCCGAGUGCAGGAAGAGUGACGGCGCGAGACGCCGGCCGCAGAAGCACCAGAGCGGCACCGCGGCAGAGAGGAGGCAGCAAACGGAAACCGUCGUGCGGUCGGUGGUGCCGCGCGGCGUGGUGAUCACCGUGGAGGGCGGAGGCGGUGGCAACGGCAGGCACUGGUGCCGCAACUGCGGCAUCUUGGAGACCCCACUGUGGCGCGCUGGCCCGGAGGGGCCCAAGACGCUGUGCAACGCGUGCGGUUUGCGGCAUAAGAACAAGCUGGCGGCGCCGCCGACCACUAAGCGCCCGCGUGCGGCGAAACCAAAUAGCGCCAAAAGCAAGAACCACUCCGGCAUGCACUUGGCGGGCGGUGCGACGGUGGUGAGGAAGAAGCGCAGUGCCGCAAAUCGCACAGACUGA